This 253-nucleotide ribosomal RNA is filed under the name uncultured bacterium. RNAcentral's name for it is "partial 16S ribosomal RNA". It matches the Rfam family "Bacterial small subunit ribosomal RNA", at positions 524 to 776 of the family's 1533-position model. The record is from RNAcentral.
UACAGAGGGUGCGAGCGUUGUCCGGAAUUAUUGGGCGUAAAGCGCGCGCAGGUGGCUUGGUAAGUAGGGCGUGAAAUCUCCCGGCCUAACUGGGAGGGGUCGCCCUAGACUGUCAAGCUUGAGGCUGGCAGAGGUAGGUGGAAUUCCUGGUGUAGUGGUGAAAUGCGUAGAGAUCAGGAGGAACACCGGUGGCGAAGGCGGCCUACUGGGCCAGCACUGACGCUGAGGCGCGAAAGCUCGGGGAGCGAACGGG